Bactrocera dorsalis (oriental fruit fly) is the source of this 3718-nucleotide long non-coding RNA. RefSeq lists it as uncharacterized. NCBI's taxonomy places the organism in Eukaryota, Metazoa, Arthropoda, Insecta, Diptera, Tephritidae. The record is from RefSeq and is a predicted model, not a curated record. The transcript has 2 exons.
GAAACGCACGCAUUUUUAACGUUGGUUUUGUCCGUCUGACGACAAAAAUGAAUCCAUUGUUUUAAUGCGGCUUUAUCCUUAGGGAAAUGAAAAAAUCUCCACUUCGUAGCACUAUUUUUACCAUUAUUAUUAUUACAACCGAACACUGCACAACGCAUUUUAAAAAUAUAGAAUUUAACAAUUAAUACAACACUUGAAAACACAAUUCGAAUUCACUUUCAAUAGCGCGGGCGAAUAAUAAGUCAUCCGUGACGUCAGCAAGAACAACUGACUGAAAGCAAACAUGCGCAUUGCGUAAUCUCUUUCUGUAUCAUUCUUGAAUGACAUAUGUGCCUUGAGUUUAGUAAGAUAAAUAUUGGCAUUUUCUUAAGCUUUUAUCGGCUUUCGUUAGUUAUUGUAAUUCAAUUUGAUUUAAUACAUUAUCUAUAUAUAUAAAACAAAGACGGGUUUGUUCGAACACUUAUAACUCGAGAUCUGCUGAACCACUUUUCAUGGUUAUUGAUUUGUUGGAUUUGUCUCCACCCCGAAUAGCAGAAUACAUAUUAAAAACAAUGAAAACUCGAUAAAAUUGGAUAAUUACAAAUAGUAACUUUUUUCCAUACAAUUUUUUUUUUUCAAUUUUUGUUUGUUUUGUUUUUCAAUAUUUUGUUUGUAAAUUAUUUGAAUAGUUUAAUUUCGGUCGCUUGCUUUUUUAUUCCGGCUAUUGAAAAGAAAAAUUAUUGAAAAUUAUUCAGAGAAAACGUUACGUGUGUUUCACACAAAGAGGUCAACUGCAGAUUGAAAUUUGUUACGAAGUCACGAAGAGGUCGCCCUAAUAUCGGUCGGCGUUCGUUUUACCAUCAACGUAUGGCAGCCCAAGGCAAGGCAAGGCAAGAAGUACUCCCAGGAUGCGGUAACGUUUGAUUGACUUUAUCUUGAAGCAACGUAUAUAUGGUGCUAUUGGAUGCUAGAUGUACUCUGUUGAGUGGCAAAAUAGAGGUUUUCGACACGCACACAUUCUUCUUUGGAUGGUGGAUGGUGGUUAUACCAGAUCAAAUUGAUGAAAUCAUUUCUCCGGAAAUUCCUGAUGUAGAGAAAGAUCCAGUAUUAUAUGAAGUGGUGGAAACCAAUAUGGUUCAUGGACCUUGCGGACACUACAAUCCCUUUUCGGUUUGUAUGUCUGACAAUAAAUGCACGAAACAGUAUCCCCGUGCUUUUCUUUCGGAAACACAAACUGGAAAUGAUGGAUAUCAACUCUAUCGGCGUCGCUCACCAGAUAACAGAACAUUCAGCAUUCAACUUAGAAGAGUGAAUAUCGAAGUUGACAACACAUGGAUCGUACCACUUUUGUCUAAUUCAUAUUCAAAACUCAUAUCAAUUUUUAGUAUUGCAGUUUGGUGAAAUCGAUAAAAUACGUUUGUAAGUACGUCACCAAAGGAAGCAACAUGGCGAAUAUUGGUCUUUAACGAUACGGUCGAUACGUGAACUGCAAUAAAGCGCUUUUUAAUUUGGAGAAUGGGCAAAAGGUAUAUUUCAACCCAGAGAAUACAGUAUAGCCAGUGGAAACAUCGCCAGCAACAAAAUUAACAUUUUCGAGUUUUUUCUCAAAUUUCGUCAGUGAUAAGUUUGUGGGAACAUUGCUCUAUUCGGACGUGCCUUGAUAUUAUACAUGGAAUGCCUCGUCGAAGAAAUAGUUACGCAGAAAGCAAGGCCAACCAGUAGAUUGACAUCCAGGUGUCUUAUCAACUAAUGCAUUAGGACGAAUUUACACAAUCCACCCGAAAAACGACGAUUGUUUCUACCUUCGGUUGCUAUUGACUAAUGUACGCGAUUCAACUAUAUUUGAGUCAUUGCUUACUGUGAAUGGUUCGAUGUGUGCAAGUUUUGGAGAAGUAAGCCAGCAAUUACAUUUGCUGGAACACGUUGCAAUUAAAAUGAAGUUCGCAUACUUUUCGAUAUAAACAUCGACAUUGCCAAAGACAUUUUACAUCGUCUUCGCUAAAAAUUGGAAAUGGUACAAUUUCGGUUGAUACUUCCGGUGGCUCGAUAUCAAUUCACGAAAGAUGAACUCAUCACAAAUGUUCGGACAUUGGAUAAAUUAUCGUAACUACGAUUCCUUAAAUGCACGCGCAAUGUUAGCUGCCAAAAAUAUCGAUGUUGUUGACUUAAACUGGAAGAUUCAAAGUCAAAUUCCGGGAGACUUGCGCUCAUAGAAAUCGAUCGAUCGUCUUGAGAAUGAAGACGACGCCGUGAAUUAUCCAGUGGUAUUUCUAAAUUCUUUGGACAGGCUUGGUAUGCCACCGCAUCAUUUGCGUCUCAAAGUAGGAUCCGUCUUUAUUAUGUUUUGCAAUCUUCAUGCGCCGAAUACAAGGGGGAGAAUGCUUGAUUCUACGAAUUCUUUUGAGUUCUAACGAUUUUCCAUUUCAGUUCAAACGAACUCCGGCAUAUAUAAGGAAAUGCUAUGUUUUUCACACGGCCGUAGCGAGCACACGAGUUGGAAAACCAUCUUUUCUGUACACCGGAACAUAAACCAAAAAACGUUGUUUAUAAAGCUGCGUUACAUUGAAAAAAAAAAAUGAAAUGAUAAAUUUAACUUUCUUUUCCGUUUCAGGACAACGGCUGCGGGGUCAGCUAGUUUAAUAUAUAUUAUUAUUAGAUUGUUUUCUUGUGCAAUUUAAAAAUUUAAAAUACCAGAUCCGAUAUUCCAAUAUUAAUUCUUUCCUCCAUUAUUAUUUGCUUUAUUUCUUCUAUAUCUAAAACUAAUGUAUCCUACAAAUUUGAAUUCAUACAAAUAAAUGUCAAUGGUAAAAAUAACGAUUUUUCAAUGUCUGGUUACCAGCAUCCGUUGUACAAGAAAUUCCUGUACUUUUGCCGUUGCGCGGCUGAUAAGUCACGCAAAUUAACAAGCAAAACAUUGGUUCUCAGAAGUACAACGGACAAGUUCAACUGCGCAACGCUAAAAGUACAGAAAUUUCUUGCAGGCAAUGGUUAUUCAGCAGAAAGUUAUAAAGCUCAAACGUAAAACGAGCAACGCAAACUUCGCUGCUUAUGUAAUAUCAACUACGCUGAAACACUAAAAUCAAGUGUAUCGACGUGGGAAUCAGCCCAAGAUCUAAAAGGACAAAUACAGCGAGAAAUAUCGAUUCAGAAUGUCAUCGGAACUAUGAUGGAACCCAGUAAAAGGUUCAACGCCAGCAACACAGUUCAUAUCGCGUACUGAAGAAUUGUAACAAUGCUACGGCUAGAAGGAGAACAUAGUCUUAGUCGAAGUUCAACACAAAAUGAAAGGCAUUGCCAAACAUUGACUAAAUGCACAACCACUUUUUCAAAUAUGGUUACAAUUCGAAAAUGCAUUUAGAGCACAACGCAGCGGCGACGCAUAAGUUACUUAUGAAUCGUAAACGUAAAAACGCCGAAGAUUGCAUAAAGUACUUUUACUCCAUGUUAACCAUAGGCAAGGUAGGGUAGAUGACGUAUCCAUCAAUAUGCAUAUCAUCAGCGGUCUCUACAAUUUUGCAAUAACGAAGCCAUUAGAAACGAUGAAUUUAACAACGUCGACUGAACUAUUGGUGGCAUUAAAGAAUCUAUCAGCAAUUAGUAGAAUAUCGGUAACAUCAAUACCACCAAACCAACAUGCAACGAAGGCCGAAACUAAAUUCAACGGGAGGCACACACAAAUAGAGUUCUUCAACUGCAACGAGUUGGGACACAUUGCAGCCAGGUGUCUGCUACCAAAAUU